GAAGAUUUAAGGGGGUUCGCGGGUCUAAAUCAUUUAUAUAGGAUUUCUCUAUAUUUUUCUAUAAAUGAACUUUAUCUUAUAGUAAAUAGAAAAUUAAAAUAAAAAAGUGGGGUCACCGUUCAUUUGCGCUCACAAUCUGCCUUCGAAAGAAGCAUACAUUUUUGUAAAGGUGGUUGAAGUAAUAGGAGAAAUAUAGGUAAUAUUGAAAUAAAAAAAGAAAUUUAUUACAGAAAUCGCUCAAAUUUUACAAUAAUUUAGUUUAAGUACAGCUUAUAUGGAAAUUAUAUUAAAAAAUAUAUGUCACCGAUGAGUUAAAAAAGAUAUUUCAAUUCUAAAGCCAAAAAAGGGCAUUUUUCCACCAAAGGGAGAUAAUUUGGAACUUUUUCAAUGAUGUACACAUUUCAAAUGUCAUCUGGGGCCAACACGAAUUGAUUGUUUUGAAUGAUUUUUGUACCAUAUGAUAAAGUAACAACUGCAAAAGGUAAUAAAUAAAAUUUGUAGUGAAAAACAAAUGUUUAUUUUUUUCUGAAAUUUUUAUACCCUCGAGCCUCCUUAAGCCUUUUUA
This 565-nucleotide long non-coding RNA is filed under the name Mytilus galloprovincialis (Mediterranean mussel). The record is from RNAcentral. Lineage: Eukaryota; Metazoa; Mollusca; Bivalvia; Mytilida; Mytilidae.